Molecule: ribosomal RNA, 254 nt
Filed under: uncultured bacterium
Lineage: Bacteria
Description: partial 16S ribosomal RNA
Rfam family: Bacterial small subunit ribosomal RNA
Source: RNAcentral
UACGGGGGGAGCAAGCGUUGUUCGGAUUUACUGGGCGUAAAGGGCGCGUAGGCGGCCACCGCAAGUCAGUUGUGAAAGCUCUGGGCUUAACCCAGAAAGGUCAACUGAUACUGCGGGGCUAGAGUGCAGAAGGGGCAACUGGAAUUCUCGGUGUAGCGGUGAAAUGCGCAGAUAUCAGGAGGAACACCGGUGGCGAAGGCGGGUCUCUGGGCCGAUACUGACGCUGAGGAGCGAAAGCGUGGGGAGCGAACAGG